Molecule: long non-coding RNA, 253 nt
Filed under: Physcomitrium patens
Lineage: Eukaryota; Viridiplantae; Streptophyta; Bryopsida; Funariales; Funariaceae
Description: long non-coding RNA (PPAT_LNC011213)
Source: RNAcentral
UUGUGUGUUGGAAUAGAGAGAGUUUGCCUCAAGAAAGCAUUGGGCACUUGGUUGCCACUAAUUGCUCAAUCAAAUCUUCAGAUAAGAAAGAUGAGGUUUAUAUAUAUAUAUAUAUAUAUAUAUAUAUAUAUAUAUAAUACUUUUAGGUACAAUUAUAUCAAAUAUAUAAAUCUUAAGUUUCCAAAAAUAUCCAAAAUAUGAGAAAAAAACUCUAAAUCCUUAUAUAUCCUUAUGGGGUAUUAUUCUCAAACUU